AUGCAUAAGUAUUUCACUUGCCUGUCUACGGUUCCCUUGCGUGUGCUCGGGAUAGGUGUUUUGUAUAAAUGUUUCGCCGUAUUAUUAAGUAUUCUCCUUUAG
RNAcentral lists this ribosomal RNA (102 nucleotides) under Triticum aestivum (bread wheat). RNAcentral's name for it is "partial small subunit ribosomal RNA". The record is from RNAcentral. Lineage: Eukaryota; Viridiplantae; Streptophyta; Magnoliopsida; Poales; Poaceae.